UCUUCUGGCUGCUGCAAAGAAGGAAAACAAAAGGUUUAGGGAUUAAUAAGGUACCACAAAAGUGGCGUACCUUCUCAUAUGCCAUGUGGGUGCAUAGCCCCCGGCAUAUU
This 110-nucleotide ribosomal RNA is filed under the name Isis hippuris. Its description in RNAcentral is "partial 16S ribosomal RNA". Lineage: Eukaryota; Metazoa; Cnidaria; Anthozoa; Malacalcyonacea; Isididae. The record is from RNAcentral.